UACGUAGGGGGCUAGCGUUGUCCGGAAUCAUUGGGCGUAAAGAGCGUGUAGGCGGCCCGGUAAGUCCGCUGUGAAAGUCGGGGGCUCAACCCUCGAAUGCCGGUGGAUACUGUCGGGCUAGAGUGCGGAAGAGGCGAGUGGAAUUCCUGGUGUAGCGGUGAAAUGCGUAGAUAUCGGAAGGAACAUCAGUGGCGAAAGCGACUUCCUGGACCAAUACUGACGCUCAUGUGCGAAAGCGUGGGGAGCAAACAGG
This 253-nucleotide ribosomal RNA is filed under the name uncultured bacterium. RNAcentral's name for it is "partial 16S ribosomal RNA". It matches the Rfam family "Bacterial small subunit ribosomal RNA", at positions 524 to 776 of the family's 1533-position model. The record is from RNAcentral.